GACGAACGCUGGCGGCGUGCUUAACACAUGCAAGUCGAACGGAAAGGCCCUGCUUUUGUGGGGUGCUCGAGUGGCGAACGGGUGAGUAACACGUGAGUAACCUGCCCUUGACUUUGGGAUAACUUCAGGAAACUGGGGCUAAUACCGGAUAGGAGCUCCUGCUGCAUGGUGGGGGUUGGAAAGUUUCGGCGGUUGGGGAUGGGCUCGCGGCUUAUCAGCUUGUUGGUGGGGUAGUGGCUUACCAAGGCUUUGACGGGUAGCCGGCCUGAGAGGGUGACCGGCCACAUUGGGACUGAGAUACGGCCCAGACUCCUACGGGAGGCAGCAGUGGGGAAUAUUGAACAAUGGGCGGAAGCCUGAUGCAGCAACGCCGCGUGCGGGAUGACGGCCUUCGGGUUGUAAACCGCUUUCGCCUGUGACGAAGCGUGAGUGACGGUAAUGGGUAAAGAAGCACCGGCUAACUACGUG
This 468-nucleotide ribosomal RNA is filed under the name uncultured bacterium. RNAcentral describes it as "partial 16S ribosomal RNA". It matches the Rfam family "Bacterial small subunit ribosomal RNA", at positions 28 to 507 of the family's 1533-position model. The record is from RNAcentral.